RNAcentral lists this ribosomal RNA (471 nucleotides) under uncultured bacterium. RNAcentral's name for it is "partial 16S ribosomal RNA". It matches the Rfam family "Bacterial small subunit ribosomal RNA", at positions 28 to 507 of the family's 1533-position model. The record is from RNAcentral.
GACGAACGCUGGCGGCGUGCUUAACACAUGCAAGUCGAACGAUGAAGCCUAGCUUGCUAGGUGGAUUAGUGGCGAACGGGUGAGUAAUACGUGAGUAACCUACCUUUAACUCUGGGAUAAGCCCGGGAAACUGGGUCUAAUACCGGAUACGACCAAUCUCCGCAUGGGGUGUUGGUGGAAAGCGUUAUGUAGUGGUUAUAGAUGGGCUCACGGCCUAUCAGCUUGUUGGUGAGGUAACGGCUCACCAAGGCGACGACGGGUAGCCGGCCUGAGAGGGUGACCGGCCACACUGGGACUGAGACACGGCCCAGCCUCCUACGGGAGGCAGCAGUGGGGAAUAUUGCACAAUGGGCGCAAGCCUGAUGCAGCGACGCCGCGUGAGGGAUGACGGCCUUCGGGUUGUAAACCUCUGUUAGAAGGGAAGAAGAGAGAUUGACGGUACCUGCAGAGAAAGCGCCGGCUAACUACGUG